AGAUAGUAGAGGUCAUACAACUUACAUCUGAUGCCAAUUGUCCGCUAUGAUAUCUGAUCCUGCAAGGUAAUAGUAUUUUUAGUGAAAGUGAAGAUAAUGUCCUGGGAUUUGGUCAGACAAGGUGAUAGAUAGUAAUUUAAAUGGGAAGUUAGGUACAUAAAGAACACAAUCGACAGUAAGAUAUGAAAGGGAAUGGGUAGUUCCAAUGUCCAUAUAUCUUUGAGAAGUUAAUGAUUGAUAGAAAGGUUAGCACACAAAAGUACAUAAUAUCUAGAAGUAGUUUUCUUGUAUAUUACCAUACUUAUAUCCUAAAGUUGAGGUUGUAGAGAGAAAGAGAUAUUGAGUUGAGUGUAAGUUUUGUGUAUGAUUUGAAUGGACAGGGAUGGAGUAGAUGUGAUGUGAGGGGCUACUUUGCAUGGUCUUUAUUGGACAACUUUGAAUGGGCUCAAGGUUAUACAAAACGGUUUGGAUUGGUGUAUGUUGACUAUAAAAAUGGUCUCAGCAGACACCCCAAGUCAUCUGCCUAUUGGUUUUCACGCUUUCUCAGAGCUGCCGAAAACAAGAAUGGUAAGGAAGACUAGUUCAUCACUUUCUUCACUGCCUCUUUCUGUGCUCUGUAAUGUCAUUUCUCUGCAUUUUCAUUUUCAUAUUUAUUUCUCUUGCUUUAUGCCAAAAAAUUCCAUUAUUGUAUGACCAACUUUAGUUAAACCCAUUGUGCGACUCCCAAAAAUAAAAUAAAUAUUUAUUAUUAAAUUGAGCUAGACACGUAAGAAAAAACCUCACUCCUAUCUUAGACAUAUUAUAAUAUAUUAUGCUACUCCUCUAACAAAUUUAUAAUCAUCAACCGUGGUUAACAUAUUAGGUUUCCUCUAGUUUGAAGUGUGAAACCGCAAUCAAAAGGAUCCAAAAGUCUUUAAUUUUAAUUGAUUAUCAAUUUUUUAGAUUGAUUUUUUAUUUUUCUUUGGAUCGAUUUAAUUCUUAACACCCCUAGAUUAAACCUUCAAAUUAUAAUUUCAAUUCAUCAUUAUUAUCCAUAUCAACUUUUAUUAAAGGUAACAUUGUGGAACGUUAUGUUAAUCAUCAUUUUUCCCCCAUAAAGCUCAUUUGUUUUUAAUGUCCACUCUAUAUUUCAACCAUUAUUGCCUAGAAUGAAGUGCAUUAAUCAUACUAAACGUAAAUAAGAAAAUUACAUGUGAUUAAGGAUGUGAUACAUAUGUAUAUACUCAUUUGUGUCCGAAUACCCAAUUUAGAAAAUUGGAUACUAUCUACAUAUACAUAUUGACACUCAUGUACAUAUUCAUACUCACGCUCAUGUCAAGUUAAUAUUGAGUUUAUGUUAAAAUCGAAAUGAGUUAGAAUAAUGCCACAAUAUCUACAUAUACAUAUUUAUUUGUCAUUUUAUUUGUCAUUCUUAGUAAAAAAAAUUGAGUAAUAAAAUUAAUUAAAAAAACAUUAGAAAAUGCAACAAAGUAAACAUUAAAAUUUAAUUAAAUAAUCUUGAAGAAACAUCUAAAUGUUUUACAAUACUAAUCACUCAAAAAUAAUUAAGAAGUAACACCCUUGCAUUUUUUCUUUUCACCCUUUAUUCUAAUAUCCGGAUUAACUAAUAUUUUUAUUCUCUUUUCUUCAUCAUUAUUUAGAUUUUUCAAAAUAAAAUCUCCUUUCCUGUAACACUUAAUUUAGGGUAUUUUCUCUCUCUUUUUUUUCCGAAACAAUUGAAUUAAAAUACAAUGCUAUUAAAGUAUAUAUAUACAUGAUUACUUUGAUGCACAUUUAUACUUAAAUUUUUUAGAGUCUUUUUCUGGAAGAUAAAAAAAAGAUAUUAUUAAGGUGUUUUGUUAUCCGGCAUAAUAGGAGUUUAUUCGUUUUGGAUUUUCCUAUGUGGGUCUUUGGACCGUUUUCUCUCUUAACCCAAUUAUUGGGCUUGUAUUCUUAUUUAAGUGUUUUGUUUCAUAACUGUAAAGACACUUUGAAUAAUACGUAAAAUUCUGUUUUUCAGAAUAUCACCGCUUUCAGUUUUUCUCAGUACUUCAAUCUCUUUGCUUUCAUUCUUUUCUUCUUAGUCAAUUCAAUCCCCAUGGUUUCAUUAUGGUAUUAGAGCGGGACUUGCUCUGCUUCAUCGCACUCUGAUCUUCUUUCUUUUCCUUGUAUUUUUUUUUUCUACAUCUUGUUUUCGGUUUCUUUUUUAUCAAUGGAUUUGUCUUCGAAUCCAUCAAGUGCAUACUAUCUGCAUAUGGGAGAAAACCCAGGAACGAUGCUCAUCAAAAUGCAACUUGACGGAAACAAUUAUCACACUUGGACUAGGACCAUGAAGAGAGCUCUCCUCUCCAUGAAGAAAUUAAAGUUUGUGAAUGGAGAUCUCUUUGAACCAACACAAGAUGAUGAGUUGCAUGAAGCAAGGGAACGCUGUAAUGUCAUGGUCAUAUCGUGGAUUAUGCGAACCUUGAGUGCUCAAAUCGCUCAAGCACCGUCUACAUAGAUAAUGCCAAAUGUCUACAUAGAUAAUGCCAAAGAUCUAUGGGAAGAAUUGAUAGAAAGAUUCUCCAAGAGUAACCAUUUUUCAUAUCCCAUCUUCUACCGGAAGUGAAUUCAAUCAAACAGGUCUUGUGGGAAGAACUAGAUUCUUUGUGGCUCAUACCUGUUUGCACAUGCAAUAACAAAUAUUUUUUCAAACUUUCCAGAGUCAUUCUUGAAUGGAGAGAAUUAGAAAGAGUCAUGUGUUUUCUGAAGGAUCUUGGUGAAGUGUAUAACAAUGUAAAGACACAUAUUCUUCUUCUUGAUAGAUGGACAAGUUUGCAAUGCCAUACAUCAACUUGAACAGGUUCUUGGUCUGCAUGGAUAGAACAAAAUUUUCCUUUGUUGCACAUUGAAUCUCGUACAAACCAUUAUGAAUCUUAGCUUGUCCAAUCAUCCUGAAUGUACUCAUUUCUUGUAUAUCACAUGUAUCACGAGAGAAAGUGAGCUUGUAGUUUAAAGAAGAUGCAAGACUAUGUACAUAAAGAAUGUUUAGAGUAAAUUCUAGUAUAUACAAAACAUUGUGUAUCAUGAAUUCUCUUGACAAAAAGAAAAUUCUUGCACAUCUUCCUAUAACAUAAGUAUUAUUAGGUAAUCGUAUUCUUAUUGACUUUAUCUUAUGUUGACUUGGGAAAAGAGUAAGAUCACAUGAAACAUGGUUUGUGGCACUAGUGUCCAAUCCAAAAUUUUGUGCAUACUUUACCUUUCUCAUAAGUUUGAACAAAUGAUUCAUUACCUUUCUCAAA
Molecule: long non-coding RNA, 3260 nt
Filed under: Phaseolus vulgaris (common bean)
Lineage: Eukaryota; Viridiplantae; Streptophyta; Magnoliopsida; Fabales; Fabaceae
Description: long non-coding RNA (PVUL_LNC002851)
Source: RNAcentral